AACGCAACUUGCGCCCUAGGGUAUUCCCUGGAGCAUGCCUGUUUGAGUGUCGCGAUGUCAUCAUUAUUUUAUUAUAAUGGAGUUGGGUGAAGCGGAAGCACGCCCGAAUAGCAUUAUGAGCAGUGAGCCCUGCGGCGUGAUAAUUAUCUUCGUCGCACCAACGCUGUCUAUUUCCAAUUGACCUCAGAUCAGGUAGGACUACCCGCCGAACUUAA
RNAcentral lists this unclassified non-coding RNA (215 nucleotides) under uncultured fungus. RNAcentral describes it as "partial contains 5.8S ribosomal RNA, internal transcribed spacer 2, and large subunit ribosomal RNA". The record is from RNAcentral. Lineage: Eukaryota; Fungi.